This 253-nucleotide ribosomal RNA is filed under the name uncultured bacterium. RNAcentral's name for it is "partial 16S ribosomal RNA". It matches the Rfam family "Bacterial small subunit ribosomal RNA", at positions 524 to 776 of the family's 1533-position model. The record is from RNAcentral.
UACAGAGGGGGCACGCGUUGUUCGGAAUUACUGGGCGUAAAGGGCGCGUAGGCGGCCUUCUAAGUCGAACGUGAAAUCCCCGGGCUCAACCCGGGAACUGCGUCCGAUACUGGAAGGCUUGAAUCCGGGAGAGGGAUGCGGAAUUCCAGGUGUAGCGGUGAAAUGCGUAGAUAUCUGGAGGAACACCGGUGGCGAAGGCGGCAUCCUGGACCGGCAUUGACGCUGAGGCGCGAAAGCCAGGGAAGCAAACGGG